CGUAAUAGCUCACUGGUCGAGAGUCUCUGCGCCGACAAUGUAACGGGGCUAAGUUAUAAACCGAAGCUGUGGAGUUGCGUAAGCGACUGGUAGGAGAGCGUUCUGUAGGCCGUUGAAGGAGAAUCGAUAAGAGACUCUGGAGGUAUCAGAAGUGAGAAUGCAGGAAUAAGUAGCGAGAAUGGGGGCGAGAAUCCCCCACGCCGGAAGACCAAGGGUUCCAGGGUAAAGUUUGUCUCCCCUGGGUAAGCCGGGUCC
This 255-nucleotide ribosomal RNA is filed under the name Cetobacterium somerae. RNAcentral's name for it is "partial 23S ribosomal RNA". It matches the Rfam family "Bacterial large subunit ribosomal RNA", at positions 1133 to 1391 of the family's 2925-position model. Lineage: Bacteria; Fusobacteriati; Fusobacteriota; Fusobacteriia; Fusobacteriales; Fusobacteriaceae. The record is from RNAcentral.